RNAcentral lists this transfer RNA (76 nucleotides) under Acholeplasmataceae bacterium. Its description in RNAcentral is "tRNA-His". It matches the Rfam family "tRNA". From Rfam's summary of the family: Transfer RNA (tRNA) molecules are approximately 80 nucleotides in length. Their secondary structure includes four short double-helical elements and three loops (D, anti-codon, and T loops). Further hydrogen bonds mediate the characteristic L-shaped molecular structure. tRNAs have two regions of fundamental functional importance: the anti-codon, which is responsible for specific mRNA codon recognition, and the 3' end, to which the tRNAs corresponding amino acid is attached (by aminoacyl-tRNA synthetases). tRNAs cope with the degeneracy of the genetic code in two manners: having more than one tRNA (with a specific anti-codon) for a particular amino acid; and 'wobble' base-pairing, i.e. permitting non-standard base-pairing at the 3rd anti-codon position. Lineage: Bacteria; Bacillati; Mycoplasmatota; Mollicutes; Acholeplasmatales; Acholeplasmataceae. RNAcentral also lists the same sequence under 1 other name. The record is from RNAcentral.
GCGGCCGUGGCGAAGUGGUUAACGCAUCGGGUUGUGGUCCCGACAUUCGAGGGUUCGAUUCCCUUCGGCCGCCCCA